AUAAUGGGUCAGCGACUUAUAUUCUGUAGCAAGGUUAACCGAAUAGGGGAGCCGAAGGGAAACCGAGUCUUAACUGGGCGUUAAGUUGCAGGGUAUAGACCCGAAACCCGGUGAUCUAGCCAUGGGCAGGUUGAAGGUUGGGUAACACUAACUGGAGGACCGAACCGACUAAUGUUGAAAAAUUAGCGGAUGACUUGUGGCUGGGGGUGAAAGGCCAAUCAAACCGGGAGAUAGCUGGUUCUCCCCGAAAGCUAUUUAGGUAGCGCCUCGUGAAUUCAUCUCCGGGGGUAGAGCACUGUUUCGGCAAGGGGGUCAUCCCGACUUACCAACCCGAUGCAAACUGCGAAUACCGGAGAAUGUUAUCACGGGAGACACACGGCGGGUGCUAACGUCCGUCGUGAAGAGGGAAACAACCCAGACCGCCAGCUAAGGUCCCAAAGUCAUGGUUAAGUGGGAAACGAUGUGGGAAGGCCCAGACAGCCAGGAUGUUGGCUUAGAAGCAGCCAUCAUUUAAAGAAAGCGUAAUAGCUCACUGGUCGAGUCGGCCUGCGCGGAAGAUGUAACGGGGCUAAACCAUGCACCGAAGCUGCGGCAGCGACGCUGAUGCGUUGUUGGGUAGGGGAGCGUUCUGUAAGCCUGUGAAGGUGUGCUGUGAGGCAUGCUGGAGGUAUCAGAAGUGCGAAUGCUGACAUAAGUAACGAUAAAGCGGGUGAAAAGCCCGCUCGCCGGAAGACCAAGGGUUCCUGUCCAACGUUAAUCGGGGCAGGGUGAGUCGACCCCUAAGGCGAGGCCGAAAGGCGUAGUCGAUGGGAAACAGGUUAAUAUUCCUGUACUUGGUGUUACUGCGAAGGGGGGACGGAGAAGGCUAUGUUGGCCGGGCGACGGUUGUCCCGGUU
Molecule: ribosomal RNA, 896 nt
Filed under: Escherichia coli
Lineage: Bacteria; Pseudomonadati; Pseudomonadota; Gammaproteobacteria; Enterobacterales; Enterobacteriaceae
Description: partial 23S ribosomal RNA
Rfam family: Bacterial large subunit ribosomal RNA
Source: RNAcentral